Long non-coding RNA from Trachemys scripta elegans, 1335 nucleotides. RefSeq lists it as uncharacterized. The record is from RefSeq and is a predicted model, not a curated record. The transcript has 3 exons. Lineage: Eukaryota; Metazoa; Chordata; Testudines; Emydidae.
GAAACCUCUGCUAACAGCUGUUCCUAUUCCCAGAGUUAUUCCCAAAACUGAAUCCAAGUAAAGGGAAAACCUGGUCUUUGUUCUGCGGACCUCUUCUCCUAUAUCCCUAUUAAAAGGACAGAGGAGAAGCUUCCCAUACUGUAUCUUCUAGGUCAGAAGCUAAAAUCUUUCUAUAGAAGAUGAAGUGAUGAAUACAUCUCUAAAGGUGCAGAGAAUGCAGUGGGCAGAGAGAGGAGUGUCUGCCCCUUCUUUUUACAGGCCUGCUCGCUUUUGAGAAGCAUUUCCAGCUGGGACCAAGGCAACAGGCAGUCUGCCUGGAAGGAAACUCGAUGUUUCUUUACUAAAUGUAGAAUAUUUUUUGACCCUGCUCUCUUUCCUGCCAAAACAAAGAAUGGCCAUCUAGCAGGUAACAGUCAAUCAGCUUUGUUAAUACCUGGCUGAGACAUCAGCUUGCCCUUUGUCGCUGAGGAAAUGGUCUGGCCAUUCUCCAGAUUUAUCUAAAAAACACUUUUAGUCAUGAGCUCAUCUUAUGUUUAUAACUUCACAUAUAAGUUAUAUGUGCUUUUUGCCAUGGUAUUACUGAUCAGCUAAUUAUGAGUUUUUAAAUGAUAUCUCACAAGGCAUACCUGGUAUAAACAUUGUUAGAACAGUAUGUAGGGUGUGAACACAGGGAUAUAUUCUGUCAGAAGUUCCCAAGGAAAAGUAUAAUGCAUAAAUGUAUAAAAGAUCUCCUUGACAAAGUAUUAAUCUGACUACAAGUCCAUGCCUCUGCAAAUUUAGAGCCUCAGUCAAAGUGCAUUGAAGUCCAUGGAAAGACUCCCAUUGGCUUCGUUAGGCUUUGGAUCAAAAGGAUCUCAGAGAACUUACAGAAAGGUUGAUUGUGAAAUGCAGCAUUUGAUUGUAAUACCUAUCCAGUAUUUUUCUAUAUCAAGCUGAAAAGGAUGGCUUCAUAUUCUAAGAAUCAUGUUUGUAAUACCCAGAAUCCCCUAUAACCAUAGCCAUAAAUCCAUGUGGUGCCGACUCUGACUUCCAUCCUUCAGAGGCAGACAAAUUGAAUAUGAUGCUGUUUCCUCUGUGAGUUUUCCAGAAACCACCUUAUAAUGGAGAACAUAUUGUAUCUGCUCUACAUGGACCUAAAAGAUGCCACUGCACAAGAAUUACAUACAUGUACUAGAGCAAUAUUGUAUACACUUUUCAAGCUACUGCAGUGUCAUUUCUGCCACCAUUCUUUAAUUGUACACCUCUACCUCGAUAUAACGCUGUCCUCGGGAGCCAAAAAAUCUUACCGCGUUAUAGGUGAAAUUGUGUUAUAUUGAAUUUGCUUUGAUCCACCGG